This 315-nucleotide long non-coding RNA is filed under the name Jatropha curcas. RNAcentral describes it as "long non-coding RNA (JCUR_LNC003539)". Lineage: Eukaryota; Viridiplantae; Streptophyta; Magnoliopsida; Malpighiales; Euphorbiaceae. The record is from RNAcentral.
UCCACUAAAUAAGAAAUAACUGCCAAUGUCAAACAUACAAAUCGGCUUUAGUUAUGUCCUCUUGACCAGCAAAGAAAGCAUUCCCCAGAUGAACAUUUUAGGAAUAUAAUUCAUGAUGCUUCAUAACGGCUGAUUAUAACAAAUUCAUAUAUCAAAAGAAUAUUAGAGAAUACCUUUCAAUCCAAAUCCGAUGAGUUGUGAAUUGGUUGAGCAAUUGAUAAAACGUUGUGCUUGAUUUGAUGCGCCUGAUAGCCUUUUCCGAGAUGGAUAUGUUUAUGGUUGGGGGAUAAAAUGAAAAAGCAGGACAAAACACGC